GCCGCAAUAGCUCAGUUGGGAGAGCAGUAGACUGAAGUGUUAUUCAUGGAAGUGAAUUGAGCAUGGUUUCUAAAGGUCCCCCGUUCGAACCGGGGUUGUGGCA
Molecule: non-coding RNA, 103 nt
Organism: Phellopilus nigrolimitatus
Lineage: Eukaryota; Fungi; Basidiomycota; Agaricomycetes; Hymenochaetales; Hymenochaetaceae
Source: the annotation of a GenBank genome assembly